Molecule: ribosomal RNA, 592 nt
Filed under: uncultured Pseudomonas sp.
Lineage: Bacteria; Pseudomonadati; Pseudomonadota; Gammaproteobacteria; Pseudomonadales; Pseudomonadaceae
Description: bacterial SSU rRNA
Rfam family: Bacterial small subunit ribosomal RNA
Source: RNAcentral
CCGGGCGUUUUGGAUGGGGCACGUUUCGACGGACGCUAAUACCGCAUACGUCCUACGGGAGAAAGUGGGGGAUCUUCGCACUCACGCUAUCAGAUGAGCCUAGGUCGGAUUAGCUAGUUGGUCGGGGUAAAGGCCUACCAAGGCGACGAUCCGUAACUGGUCUGAGAGGAUGAUCAGUCACACUGGAACUGAGACACGGUCCAGACUCCUACGGGAGGCAGCAGUGGGGAAUAUUGGACAAUGGGCGAAAGCCUGAUCCAGCCAUGCCGCGUGUGUGAAGAAGGUCUUCGGAUUGUAAAGCACUUUAAGUUGGGAGGAAGGGCAGUAAGUUAAUACCUUGCUGUUUUGACGUUACCGACAGAAUAAGCACCGGCUAACUUCGUGCCAGCAGCCGCGGUAAUACGAAGGGUGCAAGCGUUAAUCGGAAUUACUGGGCGUAAAGCGCGCGUAGGUGGUUUGGUAAGAUGGAUGUGAAAUCCCCGGGCUCAACCUGGGAACUGCAUCCAUAACUGCCUGACUAGAGUACGGUAGAGGGUGGUGGAAUUUCCUGUGUAGCGGUGAAAUGCGUAGAUAUAGGAAGGAACACCAGUGA